This 256-nucleotide ribosomal RNA is filed under the name uncultured bacterium. RNAcentral's name for it is "partial 16S ribosomal RNA". It matches the Rfam family "Bacterial small subunit ribosomal RNA", at positions 524 to 776 of the family's 1533-position model. The record is from RNAcentral.
UACGUAGGGGGGCUAGCGUUGUCCGGAAUCAUUGGGCGUAAAGCGCGUGUAGGCGGUCCGGUAAGUCCGCUGUGAAAGUCGGGGGGCUCAACCCUCGGAUGCCGGUGGAUACUGUCGGGCUUGAGUACGGAAGAGGCGAGUGGAAUUCCUGGUGUAGCGGUGAAAUGCGCAGAUAUCAGGAGGAACACCAAUUGCGAAGGCAGCUCGCUGGGACGUUACUGACGCUGAGACGCGAAAGCGUGGGGGAGCAAACAGG